GCUCCGCUGACGAGUGGCGAACGGGUGAGUAAUAUAUCGGAACGUACCCAAGAGUGGGGGAUAACGUAGCGAAAGUUACGCUAAUACCGCAUACGAUCUAAGGAUGAAAGCAGGGGACCGCAAGGCCUUGUGCUCCUGGAGCGGCCGAUAUCUGAUUAGCUAGUUGGUAGGGUAAAGGCCUACCAAGGCAUCGAUCAGUAGCUGGUCUGAGAGGACGACCAGCCACACUGGAACUGAGACACGGUCCAGACUCCUACGGGAGGCAGCAGUGGGGAAUUUUGGACAAUGGGCGCAAGCCUGAUCCAGCAAUGCCGCGUGAGUGAAGAAGGCCUUCGGGUUGUAAAGCUCUUUUGUCAGGGAAGAAACGGGUGCGGCUAAUAUCUGCACCUAAUGACGGUACCUGAAGAAUAAGCACCGGCUAACUACGUGCCAGCAGCCGCGGUAAUACGUAGGGUGCAAGCGUUAAUCGGAAUUACUGGGCGUAAAGCGUGCGCAGGCGGUUUUGUAAGUUUGUCGUGAAAUCCCCGGGCUCAACCUGGGAAUGGCGAUGGAGACUGCAAGGCUAGAAUCUGGCAGAGGGGGGUAGAAUUCCACGUGUAGCAGUGAAAUGCGUAGAGAUGUGGAGGAACACCGAUGGCGAAGGCAGCCCCCUGGGUCAAGAUUGACGCUCAUGCACGAAAGCGUGGGGAGCAAACAGGAUUAGAUACCCUGGUAGUCCACGCCCUAAACGAUGUCUACUAGUUGUCGGGUCUUAAUUGACUUGGUAACGCAGCUAACGCGUGAAGUAGACCGCCUGGGGAGUACGGUCGCAAGAUUAAAACUCAAAGGAAUUGACGGGGACCCGCACAAGCGGUGGAUGAUGUGGAUUAAUUCGAUGCAACGCGAAAAACCUUACCUACCCUUGACAUGGAUGGAAUCCCGGAGAGAUUGGGGAGUGCCCGAAAGAGAACCAUCACACAGGUGCUGCAUGGCUGUCGUCAGCUC
This 984-nucleotide ribosomal RNA is filed under the name Massilia sp. CB 286359. RNAcentral's name for it is "bacterial SSU rRNA". It matches the Rfam family "Bacterial small subunit ribosomal RNA", at positions 82 to 1061 of the family's 1533-position model. The record is from RNAcentral. Lineage: Bacteria; Pseudomonadati; Pseudomonadota; Betaproteobacteria; Burkholderiales; Oxalobacteraceae.